RNAcentral lists this ribosomal RNA (253 nucleotides) under uncultured bacterium. RNAcentral describes it as "partial 16S ribosomal RNA". It matches the Rfam family "Archaeal small subunit ribosomal RNA", at positions 474 to 727 of the family's 1478-position model. The record is from RNAcentral.
UACCAGCUCCUCGAGUGGUCGGGGCGAUUAUUGGGCCUAAAGCAUCCGUAGCCGGUUCCGUAGGUCUCCUGCAAAAUCCAGUCGCUCAACGAUUGGCCCGCAGGAGAUACCGCGGGACUAGGAGGCGGGAGAGGUGGACGGUACUCCACGUGUAGGGGUAAAAUCCUUUGAUCCGUGGAAGACCACCAGUGGCGAAGGCGGUCCACCAGAACGCGCUCGACGGUGAGGGAUGAAAGCUGGGGGAGCGAACCGG